GACGAACGCUGGCGGCGUGCUUAACACAUGCAAGUCGAACGGAAAGGCCCUGCUUUUGUGGGGUGCUCGAGUGGCGAACGGGUGAGUAACACGUGAGUAACCUGCCCUUGACUUUGGGAUAACUUCAGGAAACUGGGGCUAAUACCGGAUAGGAGCUCCUGCUGCAUGGUGGGGGUUGGAAAUUUUCGGCGGUUGGGGAUGGACUCGCGGCUUAUCAGCUUGUUGGUGGGGUAGUGGCUUACCAAGGCUUUGACGGGUAGCCGGCCUGAGAGGGUGACCGGCCACAUUGGGACUGAGAUACGGCCCAGACUCCUACGGGAGGCAGCAGUGGGGAAUAUUGCACAAUGGGCGGAAGCCUGAUGCAGCAACGCCGCGUGCGGGAGGACGGCCUUCGGGUUGUAAACCGCUUUCGCCUGUGACGAAGCGUGAGUGACGGUAAUGGGUAAAGAAGCACCGGCUAACUACGU
RNAcentral lists this ribosomal RNA (467 nucleotides) under uncultured bacterium. RNAcentral's name for it is "partial 16S ribosomal RNA". It matches the Rfam family "Bacterial small subunit ribosomal RNA", at positions 28 to 506 of the family's 1533-position model. The record is from RNAcentral.